Non-coding RNA from Gossypium hirsutum (cotton), 107 nucleotides. The record is from Rfam. Lineage: Eukaryota; Viridiplantae; Streptophyta; Magnoliopsida; Malvales; Malvaceae.
AUUUCGUGAUAAGGGCACUUCCGUAAUAAUUCUUUGUACCUUUCCCAUUCCUCAUACAAUGACUCAUUAUCCAUUUGCUAGAAAGCAGUGAUCUCGUUCCUCAACUU